This 253-nucleotide ribosomal RNA is filed under the name uncultured prokaryote. RNAcentral describes it as "partial 16S ribosomal RNA". It matches the Rfam family "Bacterial small subunit ribosomal RNA", at positions 524 to 776 of the family's 1533-position model. The record is from RNAcentral.
UACGUAGGUGGCAAGCGUUGCUCGGAAUCACUGGGCGUAAAGCGCACGUAGGCGGACUCUUAAGUCGGUGGUGAAAUCCUGGAGCUCAACUCCAGAACUGCCUUCGAUACUGGGAGUCUCGAGUCCGAGAGAGGUGAGUGGAACUGCGAGUGUAGAGGUGAAAUUCGUAGAUAUUCGCAAGAACACCAGUGGCGAAGGCGGCUCACUGGCUCGGUACUGACGCUGAGGUGCGAAAGCGUGGGGAGCAAACAGG